GAUGAAGAACGUAGCAAAAUGCGAUACUUGGUGUGAAUUGCAGAAUCCCGUGAACCAUCGAGUUUUUGAACGCAAGUUGCGCCCGAAGCCUUUUGGCCGAGGGCACGUCUGCCUGGGCGUCACGCAUCGCGUCGCCCCCCACAAUUCUCCGUAAAGGGAACAUGUGUUUUGGGGGCGGAUAUUGGUCUCCCGUGCUCAUGGCGUGGUUGGCCGAAAUAGGAGUCCUUUCGAUGGACGCACGAACUAGUGGUGGUCGUAAAAACCCUCGUCUUUUGUUUCGUGCUGUUGGUCGCAAGGUAAACUCUUUAAAAACCCCAAUUUGUCGUCUCUUGACGACGCUUCGACCGCGACCCCAGGUCAGGCGGGACUACCCGCUGAGUUUAAGCAUAUCAAUAAGCGGAGGA
This 404-nucleotide unclassified non-coding RNA is filed under the name soil metagenome. RNAcentral's name for it is "partial contains 5.8S ribosomal RNA, internal transcribed spacer 2, and large subunit ribosomal RNA". The stretch from base 1 to 122 matches the Rfam family "5.8S ribosomal RNA", at positions 35 to 154 of the family's 154-position model. The record is from RNAcentral.